UUUAAAUUUUAAUCUAAUUUGUU
This 23-nucleotide small nuclear RNA is filed under the name Arabidopsis thaliana (thale cress). RNAcentral describes it as "snRNA_00897". Lineage: Eukaryota; Viridiplantae; Streptophyta; Magnoliopsida; Brassicales; Brassicaceae. The record is from RNAcentral.